Molecule: ribosomal RNA, 477 nt
Filed under: uncultured soil bacterium
Lineage: Bacteria
Description: bacterial SSU rRNA
Rfam family: Bacterial small subunit ribosomal RNA
Source: RNAcentral
AGGACGAACGCUGGCGGCGUGCUUAACACAUGCAAGUCGAGCGGUAAGGCCUUUCGGGGUACACGAGCGGCGAACGGGUGAGUAACACGUGGGUGAUCUGCCCUGCACUUCGGGAUAAGCCUGGGAAACUGGGUCUAAUACCGGAUAUGACCUCCUAUCGCAUGGUGGGUGGUGGAAAGAUUUAUCGGUGUCAGGAUGGGCCCGCGGCCUAUCAGCUUGUUGGUGGGUAAUGGCCUACCAAGGCGACGACGGGUAGCCGACCUGAGAGGGUGACCGGCCACACUGGGACUGAGACACGGCCCAGACUCCUACGGGAGGCAGCAGUGGGGAAUAUUGCACAACGGGCGAAAGCCUGAUGCAGCGACGCCGCGUGAGGGAUGACGGCCUUCGGGUUGUAAACCUCUUUCAGCAGGGACGAAGCGCAAGUGACGUACCUGCAGAAGAAGCACCGGCUAACUACGUGCCAGCAGCCGCGGU